AAUCUAUAUAUAUCUUAUAUUUUUUAUAAUUAUUUGACUAAAACUUUCAAAAUAACAUUAUAAAAACUUAUUGAAAUUUAAAAAAUUAAAAUAAGUAUGUGGUAAAACGUAUCAUUAGAAAGUCAUGCGUAUCUAUUACCAUGCAAUCAUGUCAUGUGUUAGUACGAAAGCGUGCUUGUAUCGUACCGUACCAGACAAACAGUGGUACGUCGUCGUGUCACGAUACUUUAAUCCUUAUUUCUAGGAGACUUUUUAGUGAUGAUUUACUUCGGUGGCUUGAGCAAUGAAAAGUUCCGGUCUUUCUUUUCAUAAUAGGGAGUAUCUGGAACAAAUCGGAAAAGAAAGUUCAGUUACUGUACAUUUUAGCUAAUUAGUGAUGAAGUAUUUAGAUGUUGAAUAUUCUGACUUCUGGAAACAGAUUUCUUUAGGGUCUGUAAAUAUAGGUGUGAAAUAGUUAGCCAUACUUAGUUGAAUUUUUUUUUUUUGAGAGAGAAAAAUAGCAUACUAUUUUGAAAAUAAACUUAGUUGAAAAUGUGAAUAAAUUAUAAUUCGAAUUUGGGAUCUCUGAUAUCAACCACCAAGCUAAAAUGAUAAGCGGAUUCUGUAUCUACUUGUA
Molecule: long non-coding RNA, 616 nt
Filed under: Ananas comosus (pineapple)
Lineage: Eukaryota; Viridiplantae; Streptophyta; Magnoliopsida; Poales; Bromeliaceae
Description: long non-coding RNA (ACOM_LNC037511)
Source: RNAcentral